Choloepus didactylus (southern two-toed sloth) is the source of this 1716-nucleotide long non-coding RNA. RefSeq lists it as uncharacterized. The transcript has 6 exons. The record is from RefSeq and is a predicted model, not a curated record. Lineage: Eukaryota; Metazoa; Chordata; Mammalia; Pilosa; Megalonychidae.
CGGGCUGGCUGGGACCUGGCUCCCAGCCUCUGAGCUCCACAGGUGCCCUCGCGCUUUUCUGGGUCAGCCUUAUGAUUCGGUGUCCGGGCACUUGGUAAAAUUUUGCAUAAGUUCCUCAGGGCUACAUUAUUCACACAGACACCCUGGGGAAGACGUUAGAAAACCUGAUGCCUCUUGUUCGUCAGCCGGUUGCUGCGCUUAGCACCACAGGCUGGAAUUUCAUCAGCCUGGGCUCCUUAAAAAUGUUUUGGUGACUGAACCUUCUUUUUUAUCUUCAAGCUGGCCCAACUUCUUUUUUGAAGGCAAGAAUUUGAUUGGAAGUUACUAUUCAACAGAAACCCGCCCCCAUCUAGACCUGCACUGUCAAAUAUGGUAGCCCCUGGCUGCAGUUGGAGAGCGCUGCUCUAGACCAUGCCUGCUGCAUUACGGUUCUCAGACGUGCCGUGUGGCUCCAUGCUACCUUCCUGUCGUCUGUCUUCCCUCUUUUCCCAUCAUGAGAAGCCUCUCGGGCUAAGCAAGGCUCUUGCCUUCGUCCAUCACUGCCUCUUGUGCACACAGCUUUGGGCAUUUCUGGGGCUGCUUGUCUGCCACUAGAUUGUGUGCUCCAAGGGAAGUCCGUGCCCAGAGCGGACAGCAUAGAGAGCUGGUUCCCCAGCACACCACUGAUUCUGAUGUAGGACCCCAGCCUAGCACAGGAAAAUGCUUUUGGGCAGAUCUUCUUUGGUGAUUCAGAAAUGAAAGGUGGACUUAUCCUGUGCAAAGUAGACUGUAUUAUUCAGAGAAAUGCUGCCUGUCACAGGGGAGAUAAGUGUCAGUGAGGCAUCUUGCACACUGAGUCUACUUCUCCUCACAUCAGCAUAUGCUCACCAGUGCCUUGCCAGUGCCUAACAGUGCCUGGCAUACAGUGGAGCUCAAAUGAAUGGUUGUUGAAUGGAUAAAGAAGUCAGUCUGCUGGGCCAUUUUGCAGCCACUAUUAGGCAAUGGAAAUAAUGGAAGCACUGGCUUGUAUGGAACCCCAGCCAGGCACAGGCUGCUCUUAUACCUCCAGGAUCAGGCAUUUGCUCUCCAGCUGAUGAACGAUGAUCUCACCACUACUCUGCAGGAAUGAAAUGAAGAUGGCAAGCGCCAUUACCCACAUUUCCAUUACCCUUGUGGAGAGUUCUUUGGUAGGAAAGCCACUUGAACCUGGCAGCAGGAGGACCUGGUGAAGGUGUCAGAGCAUUCUGCAGGCUGCUACUUGCCUUCUGCGAACUGGAAACCCUGCACUCCCCUUUGCCCCUCCCAGCCCUGCCUUAUCAAGUGGAAUCUUAGAAGAACUCCUGGCACCUCAGCAAACGUGGUGGUGGUGGUGGGGACACUCCAGGUAAACAAAAACUCUCCCUGCAAAGGGCUCUGGCUUGGAGGGAGGAGUUAGCCCCCAGCUCUGGCCUUAGGACAGUACAUCUUGCUCAAGCAUUUAAGGGGGAGUCAACCACCCUCCUACUGAAGGUCCCUCUACAUCCUUUAGGUGAAUCAUUGCCCUGGGGCACCCAUUUGAGGGAAGACCUAGGCCCCACAGGUGAAAUAGCAGCUGAGAAGUGAAGGGGUGGAGAUAUGCUUUGGAGCAGGGCCAAGGAAUGUGGGGGUGGGGUGGACACCAGCUCUUAGCCUGUUCUUCAUCAUCCAGAACAACCUUUCUCUGGAACCAGGCAGGAAGUCCCUCCUCAGAAGGCUGAG